Molecule: ribosomal RNA, 226 nt
Filed under: Prauserella marina
Lineage: Bacteria; Bacillati; Actinomycetota; Actinomycetes; Pseudonocardiales; Pseudonocardiaceae
Description: 16S rRNA. Bacterial SSU
Rfam family: Bacterial small subunit ribosomal RNA
Source: RNAcentral
CAUUGUUGGAGAGUUUGAUCCUGGCUCAGGACGAACGCUGGCGGCGUGCUUAACACAUGCAAGUCGAACGCUGAACCCGCUUCGGUGGGGGAUGAGUGGCGAACGGGUGAGUAACACGUGGGUAAUCUGCCCUGUACUUUGGGAUAAGCCCGGGAAACUGGGUCUAAUACCGGAUAGGACCAUGUCACGCAUGUGGUGUGGUGGAAAGUUUCGGCGGUACAGGUUG